Molecule: RNA transcript, 19987 nt
Organism: Mobula hypostoma (lesser devil ray)
Lineage: Eukaryota; Metazoa; Chordata; Chondrichthyes; Myliobatiformes; Myliobatidae
Gene: pym1
Gene name: PYM homolog 1, exon junction complex associated factor
Exons: 12
Source: RefSeq, a predicted model, not a curated record
CAGAAAAUCGCCAUGGAAGCUGUUCCCGUCGCUGAUUCUGGAAAAUAUAUUCCAGCAUCACAGCGUCCUGACGGGACUUGGCGAAAACCAAGGCGUGUGAGAGAAGGAUAUGUGCCUCAGGAGGAAGUGCCAGUGGAGUGAGUCAACUUUUCCAUUUUAAAUAUUUCCAAGGAGGGGACUUCCGGGUCAUCAAGGGAAUGGCGGCGUAAGGAAAAGGUCUCUCGACAAAAAAGAAGGAUCAUGGCGACAGGGAGUGCAGCAACCUCAACAGUUUUUUGAAGAACAUCAGGAACCUCUUUACCAAGCUCCAGCAAGCAUCGAUGUUGCAGUUAAGGAAAAGCAUUUCGAUUUGUGUGUUAAACGUUGAUAAAUUUUGACAAAUGAACAAGGAUUCUAUUGGCAAAAAGAGAAUCUCCAAAGAUAAAUCCUAUGGUUUGGAUUCAGUGAUUGAAACAGGACAACAUCUGCACAUUGAUUGAUUAUAAUGUUGAAUGUCUGUCAAUCAUCUGGGGGGAAAUUAAAUGAGUCUACUGAUGAAUGUCAUUAUUGGAACGGAUACCUUCUGGAAUAUGUAUACUGGAUAGCUUUCUACCAUAGAAAAGGAAACAGCUGAGUCUUUUCCAACACAUUCAAUCACUGAAUGUCAGCAUCUACCAGCAAGAAUCAGACUUCAUCACAGAUUCGCAGGAAGAGGACCAAUCAGCAGGCAUCUGGAGUUAUGUAGUCUUUUACAAAAGACAGCUGGAUGUGAUAUUACAGACAGUGGGAUGAAAACAGCUGAAAUAAAUUCUCCAAAGAACAUCAGGAACCUGUUCAAUGGAGCUCCAUAAAGUCCUUGAUGCCACAGUUGCUUGAAGAAAUGUCAACAUAUACCCGUUCAUGGCCAUUAAAUGCUGGCAUGUGAACUGAGUUAAUUGAGAAACCAGAUCUCCAGUAAGGAAUCUGAAGUUUUGGAUGCAAUAUUUGAUACAGGGUGAUAUUGGUUGAGAUGUUGAAUACUUAUGAAUCGUCUGGGGGGAAAAGAGAAAGGGGCCACUGAUGAAUGCUUUUGGGAAUAUGUAACUUCGAUGGUUAUAUAACAUGGAGAACACCAUAUGGAAGGUUGCAGCACUGCUGAUCUCUGAAUCUUAACAGCCAACCACAGGAUACAAAUCUGAUAAUGAAUUCCCAUGCCAGUACUCGGGAGUAAAACAGGCUUUAGCGUCAAUGGAGGAAAGGACUAUUUCUUUGGGGGAAAAAUCUGGUAAGUACUUUCAAUGCAGGAGGUUCACACCCUGAUGACGAUCAUUGUGAAGCAGCAAGGAGAACGAUCUUGUAUCCAUGGAACUGCAUUGCAGCAAAACUCAGGAAAAUCUGACAGGGAGACAGGAGGUGAAGAAAAUUUGGAUGAGUAAAGGUUGAAGAUUCUAAGUAUGGAGAAUGACCAGACAAGUAGUUAAUACAUGGAGUGCUGGAGACAGAGGAACACGCAAGACCUGAGCUGAGUGACAUCUCAGCACUGUGUUGGGCGUACAUAAAUGAGCAAGCUAUUGACACUUGGAUGGAAUUCCCAAAUGGAAUAGUGGCAGUGAGAACCCUGAAAGCAAGAAACAUGGGAUAACGAAGGGACUGCAACAUCUUUCUGGAUGGAUGGACCGGGACAGAGCAAUUGUCUUUCCUCAGCUAUUCUACAAACUCAGCUUGCUUGUACGAUUCCAGGGUGAUGGCUAUUGCUAUUGGGGACAAAGCAGCUGAAGGAUCUGCAGCACAUCUCCAGAGAACACUGGGAACCUGUUCGCCAGAGCUCCAUCAAACCUCAAGACUUCAGUUGCUGGGAGAAAUUUAUUUGUUCAAUCAUGAUAAAUGCUGAUGUGUCAACGAUGGAUUAAUCUCAGAAACCAGAUCUCCAGAUCCCUGGAGUUUGGAUGCAUUGUUUGAUUGGUUGGCAUAUUGAAUAUCUGUCAGUCGUCUGGGGGGAAACAGAAUGGGGCCACUGAUGGAUAUCAUUUAUUGGAAUGGAUACCUUUCCAGGAUACAUAUUGUUUCACACUACCAUGAAGACCACAGUGGUUGUUGUUGCAAUACAUUUGAUGGCUGAAUCAUAACAGCUAACAACUGGAGACAACGCAUUCUCAGGAUGGAUUCAAUUCCUGUACUGCAGAGGGAAGAGGCAUUGAUAACGAUCAAGAAAAAGAGUUUGUUUCUCCACAGGAGCUAUUUCCUUACUUAUUAUUUUCCUUAUUUAUUUUCUCCAGGUGGGAUGUUCCUUCCAUCAGUCGAGCCACUUGAUCUUCUGCAAGAGCAGUAGCUGAAAGCUAAAAUGAAGAGUGAUUCGAGCUAACAUUCUCUCCAGUUGCAGAGGAGGUCUCUUCACUUCUAGCUGUACCUAUUCCUGACCGUACCUAAAAUUUAUUUAUUCAUAGAUUCAGGCCCUUCCAGUCCUUCCGGUCCAACAAGCCACGCUGUCCAGUAACACAGCUAUUUAACACUAGUACAAUUUACAUUGACUAAUUAACCUAUUACCUGGUACAUUUUUGAAAUGUGGGAGGAAACUGGAGCACCCGGAGGAAACCGACGCGGUCAUGGGGAGAAUGUACAACCUUCUUACAGGCAGCACCGGAAUUGAACUCCGAAUUCUGAUGCCCCUACCUGUAAUAGCGUUGUGCUGAUCUCCACGCUACUGGGGCACCCUAUAUUAAGACAAUGCAGAAAGACCACUUAUAGGGCUGCUGCCUCUGGUAUGGUUGAAGGCAGCUCAUCUUACCUCUCAAGAUAUUGAUCUUGUCUCUUUCUCUUGUUGCAGGUUGAUGGCUCUUGAGAAUGAGGACAAAGCAACUGCAACACUUCUCCAGAGAACACGAGAAAUCUGUUCACCAGCGCUUCUUCCAACUUCACUACUGCAAUUGCGUGGAGAGAUGGUGAGAUCUACUUUUGAUAAAAUGUUAUCAAACUGAACAUUAACUUUGUUUCCUAUCUCCACAGAUGCUACCUGGCCUGCUGUGUAUUUCCAGCAUCUUCUGUUUUACUACCCAAGAUUUAUUCGUUUGUGGAUGACAACUACAGGCUCAUCAACAGAGAGAAAUCGUGUUGUUUGGAUGCAAUGUUUGAAACAAGAUUAUGUGUGCAUGUUGAUUUUGUUAAAGUGUUAGACUGUCAGUCGUCUGGGGGGAUAAUAGAAAGGGGCCAUUGAUGGAUAUCGUUAUUGGGUUGGAUACCCUUCUGGAAAAUGUAUUGUGGAUAAUUUUACACUGCGGAGAAGACCACAGCAGAGGUUGUCGCAACAUGUUUGACCUUGGAAACUUAACAGCCAACAGCAGGAGACAACUGCAUUUAGUGCCAUUGCUUGAAGGCCAGAGGGAUUCGUGAAUAGGCUUCAGUGUUAAUGGAGAAAAGCGUAUUUUUUUCUCAUCAGAACAUGAAGUCAUCUUUUUGUUAAAACGAAAAAAAGAUGGUUGCCGUCCACCAAACAGCUGGAAGAACCCCAGUAGUUCUUCAAAGAACAUCAGGAUCCUGUUCCUGAGAGCUCUUGGAAACCUUGUGUUUGCAUUCUACUAGAAAAAUAGUGAGAUUUACUUCUUCAGUGUGGUUAAAAUGAUGAAUGUUUGUGAAUCAUCUGGGGGGCAAAAUAAAGGGGCCACUGCUGGAUCUAUUUUUGUGAUGGAUACCUUUCUGGGAUACAUAUAUUGGAAAAAUUUCUUCUGGCAACCGGAGUGAAGCAAUCAAUUCUUGAAAAUUCAACGACCAGCAUCAGGAAGCAGCUUGUAUCACAUGCUCUCAGGAUGGAUUUAGUGCCAGAAUUCUUUCGGAAGAAUUGCAGUCAACAAGCUUCAGUGCCAAUGGAGAAAAGAAAUCAGAUUCUCUUGAUCUGUAAAAUGAUCAUUUUGUGGGAACGUAUAAGAAAGAUCACUGGGAACUCAUCGCAAUUAUCAACUUCAAGUGGGACCAUCGAAUUGAGACAAGACAGGUACCUUUUCUUCAACUGGUGGGUGAGAAAACACUGAUUUAUUUUUACCUUGCAACUUCUGUUAGAAUCUCCAUUCCCUGCUCUAUUUCCUGCCAUUAAAGAGAAUUACCUGCCUCAAAUGUAAAAGUUUUGUACUGAUUGCCUUUCACAGCUGUUCAUUGUGUUAAGGAACAGAAUUCUAAUCUGUACAAGUCCCAUUUGUUUUGCAGGAUUCUGAAUGUGCAGAAUGACCAGACAUGGAGUGCUGGAGAGAGAGGAGUACACAAGACCUGAGCUGAGUGACUUCUCAGCAAUGUUUCUUUUUAUUUUCAUUUCUUUUCCUUUUUUUAUUAUUUGAUAAUUCUAUAUACAACAUGAUUUUAAGCCAUCAAAACAAGUCUAGAAUCUAUACAGACUAGAAUUAUCUCGUCGACAUUUCAGUCAAAAUUUUCAAGUAGCUUAUACAUUUCACUUUUGCAUGUCUCAAGUUUUCAAACCUUCAUUCCAAAUCCCUUGCCAUCUCUGGCUCUGUCUACACUAUGAUGUAACAUCUGUGUCUUCCAGCCUCAACAAAUGCUUCUCCUGCUUUAGGUAAUCUCAGAUCAGUUCCUGCUUGGAGUUGCUCUGCAAGCUUUUUGCUUGUAUUUAUUUUUGGUGGACGAGACCUCUGAAGGAAUAUUCUGCCAUCCCUUCCCCAUUUUUGCCUCUGACCUAAUCCUUCCUGUCCAAUUCUUCCUCUAAAUAGUUUUGACCAACUUUCUGGUUCAUAUGAACCCCACAUCAUUCUCCACAACUUUCCCCAUCUUUCCCUCCCCCCCCCACCCUACUCUCCACUUUCUGCACAAUCUCCAUGACUCCUUUGUCCAUUCGUCCCUCCCUACUGAUCUCCCUCCUGGCACUUACCCCUGCAAGCAGGACAAGUGCUACACCUGCACCUUCACUUCCUCCCUCCACCUUCUCCCUCACCACCAUUCAGGACCCAAACAGUCUUUCCAGGUGAGGCAACACUCAACUUGCAAGUCUAUUGGGAUCAUCUACUGUAUCCGGUGCACCUGCUGCCGCCUCCUCUACAUUGGUGAGACCCAUUGUAAAUUGGGGAACUGCUUUGUUGAGUACCUUCGCUCUAUCCAUAACAGGUGGCAUUUUCUUGUAGUCACCCAUCUUAAUUCUACAUCUCAUUCCCAUUCUGACAUGUCAGUCCAUGGCCUCCUCUGCAUCGUGAUGUGGCCACUCUCAGGUUGGAGGAACAAUACCUCAUAUUCCAUUUGGGUAGCCUCCAACCUGAUGGGAUGAAAAUUAAUUUAUCCUACUAAUGGUAGUUUUUCCCCCACCCCCUUUCUCUUUAUCCAUUCCCCAUUCUGGCUCCCCUCUUACCCCUUCUCUUUUCAUCUGCCUAUCACCUCCCUCUGAUGACUGUCCUUCUUCCUUUUCUCCUGGAGCCCACGCCCUUCUCCUAUCGGAUUCCUUAUUCUUCUACCUUCUCCAUCUAGCACCUCCUAGCUUCUCACUUCAUCCCCACCCCCCCAACUGGCUUCACCUAUCAUCUGCCAGCUUGUACUCAUUCUCCUCCCCCUUCUUAUUCUGGAUUUUUCCCCUUCCUUUCUAGUCCUGAUGAAGUGUCUCAGUCCAAAACAUUGCCUUUCCAUAGAUACUACCUGACCUGCUGAGUUCCACACGUUUUUUCCUCUCCAUAGGUACUACCUGACCUGCUGAGUUCCACACGUGUUUAGUAUUUGUUACUCUGUAUUUCAGCAUCUGCAGAAUCUCUUGUGUUUAUUAUCUAGAUCAGGCCUCAAACAGAUAUUGUGUCGGGCUCUGGUGAACCACUUUGCGACCCCAUUGACCAGAGCUGGGCCUGAUUGGUUUAAGUUCUCUCAAAUGUGACCUCCAGACAUAUGGAAACAGCACCACCUGCAGGUUACUCUGCAAACCACACUCCAUGUGAACUUGGAAAUGUUAUCACCAUUCUUCAUCAUCGUUUUGUGGAGAUACUGGAACAGUCUGUUAGAAGGAACUUUCUCAAGCUUAAGAAUUUGGCAAUAAGUUUGGUAGUUCUCUGAAAACACCUGGCAUCUUCCCCCGUGAUUCUGAUGUUUGGAUGCGCCUCAUUGCAACGAUGCUCAGCCGUAGUGACGAAUCUUCAGCAAUGCAGAGAGUUAUGUUUUCCCGUCAGAGUCCAGUCUUUUGGGUAAUGUUUUCUUUGGAAAUUGUCUGGCAGUUGGAUCUCCAUGAGAUGAAGUCAUCAUUCUUCUUAGAAGUGUGCCAUUGACCUUCAAGAAAUUUUAAUGGUGAUGCACAGCCAUCAGAUCGUUCAGCAAGUGUAAACCUUUCCUGUUAUUGAAAAGACCCAGGUAGUUAAAGAGAGCACCUGUUGGCCCAUAUAUGCAGUUACUGCUGCUUUCACUUGUGGAAAAACCCAUUGGCACCUGAAAUGAAGAUAGGUGAUACUAUCCAUCCAUAUCUGCUGAUGCUGCUGGUGGAAACAAACUGGGUGACGUGGCAGAGAUCAGGUGCAGCCUUUGGGAAGAUCUGGUGGUGAGUAAGUUGAUCAUCAAUGCAACCUUGACUUUCAUGGAGCAGCAAAGGCACGCGAGCAUGGCAAGAGUUUUGCUGGUGAUUCCACUGUGUUCAAUUCCAUAUACAACUCUUCACAAAUGAAUGUAUGCAUGAGCUGAUAAGCAUGAGAUUGCAUGGAGCCAUUGGAGAGUCAAUUGUGGGAGUCAGCUGAGCCAGUUGUGACAUACUGCAUGCCUGAGAUCACGAAGAGCUGGUGGUGAAUCAUUUCUGGGAGCAAGAUUGGAAAACGAUCGGGGCCAGUCGGGACAUUCUGCAUGCCGGAGAUUGCUCAGAGCCAUUGGCAAGUCAAUUGUGGGAGCAGGAUUGGAAAAAUGACCGGGGCCAGUCGGGACAUUCUGCAUGCCGGAGAAUGUCCCGACUUUAGCAAGUCAAUUGUGGGAGGAAGAUUGGAAAAUGCGAAUGGGGCUAGUUGGAACAUUCUGCAUGCCGGAGAUUGUUCGGAGCCAUUGGCAAGUCAAUUGUAGGAGGAAGAUUGGAAAAAGUGAGUGGGGCCAGUCGGGACAUUCUGCAUGCCAGAGAUCAUGGAGUGAUUAUGCACUUGACAAGGCCCAAUAAAAGGAAGUCAGGUGUAAGUGAAGAGGUUUUUGUGGGAGCGACCAUUGUGUGAAUUCGCCAGUGUAGAGUGGAAGAUUUGAGGCUUAGCUCAAAGAGGCGAAGGGUAGAGUAAGUUUCUGGUAAGUUUUUUUUCUUUCUUUGUUAAUGCCCAGCUCGUGCAGUGAGAAUGAUGGGUCCAGGGUCAGCAAUGGGUACUUCAUGUUGGAUGUGGGAAUUCUGGGUGAGCUGCAGUCUCCCUGAAAAAUACAAUUAGGUGAAGUACAUCCAGCUGCAGCUCCUUACAGACUGUGUUAGGGAAAUAUGGCUGCAGUUUGGUGACCUACAGCAUCUGCAGAUUUUCUCUUCUUUGAGAUUUGACAGAUGAAUGCAUGGCUGUAGAAUUGGCAUGGCGAUCAGAGUUUCAUAUUUUUGGCUCAUUUGUAUCUCUUCUGGGGAGGAUAUGACCUAUGAAAAAAGGACCAGUUACACCUGAACAUGAGGGGCACAAAAUAUCCUUGCAGGCAGAUUUGCUGGAGCUGUUGGUGAGGAUUUAAACUACAUUGAUAGUGGACUGGGAACCAGAGUGAUAGGCCAGACGAUGGGGCAGUUGGUGUGCAGGUAGAUGCAGUGUGUAGAGAGACUGAGAAAGGACAGGUAUUCUAUAGGGUAAAAUUUCAAUCAAUGGGAUUGGGUGAAGUGUGUCUAUUUUAAUGCUAUCAGCAACAAGGGUAAAGAACUUAGAGCAUGGAUCAGUACAUGGAACUAUGAUGUUUUGGCCAUUACGGACAUAUGCCUGUCACGAGGGCAGGAGUGGCUGCUGAAUGUUCCAUCCCAAUAGCAACAGAGACACUGAGGAACAGAUCAGGAGCCAGGUUUAAGAAAGGUGCCAAAGUUAACAGGGUUGUUGUCAUGGAGGACUUCAACUUCCCUCAUAUUGAUUGGAACCUCCUUAUCGUAAAAGGUUAAAUGGGGUGAAAUUUGUUAGGUGUGCCCAGGAAGCAUUGGUGACAGGCUGAAGAGACGAGAUGCCAUACUAUAUCUGGUGCUAGGCAGAGCGUUGGAUCUCUUGAAGAGUAUUAAGGAGGUUAGUUUCCUGGGCUUGAUGGUAUAUAGGCAGGUUAUUGACAGAGGAAAGAAACGAGAUGACUGGGGCUUUGACCAAUAUCUUCAUGUCCUCUCUAGCUGCAGGCAAGGUCCUGGAGGACUGGCAAGUAGUUAAUGUUGUUCCGUUAUUCAAGAAGAGAACAAGGGAUAAUCCUGGAAACUAUAGACCAGUGAGUCUCACGUCAGUGGUAGGGAAGUUAUAAGGGAGAAUACAUUGGGAUAGGAUUUACAUGCAUUUGGAAAACCCUGGCCCAAUUAGGGAAAGCCAGCAUGGCUCUGUGCAGGGCAAAUUGUGCCUUACAAGCCUGAUUGAGUUUUUUGAUGAGGUGAUAAGGGUGAUUGAUCAAGGUAGAGCUGUGGAUGUUAUAUACACAGAUUUUAGUAAAGUGUUUGACAAGGUCCCUCAUGGGAGGCAGAAGAUUAAGAUGCAUGGGAUUGAUGGUAUACCAGCAGUUUGGAUUCAGAACGGUCUUACCCAUAGAAAACAGAGGGUAGUGGUUGAAAGGACUUAUCUAGAGGUCUGUGAUUAGUGGUCUUCUGCGGGGAUCAGUACUGGGACCUCUGCUGUUUGUGAUGUACUGUAUAGAAAUGACAAGAAUGAAAAUGUAGAUGGGUGGGUUAGUAAGUUUGAAAUGUUUGAUACUGGAAGGCAUGCAUUUAAAGUGAGAGGAAUUGACUUCAAAGGAGCUGCGAAGGGUAAGGAUUUUACCUAGAGAUGGGGUGUGCCUGGGGUGGUGUUAGAGGCAGAUACAUGACUGAUUUUUAAGUGAUGUUUAAAUAAGCACAUGAAAGUGAGGGAAAUGGAAGGAUUGUGUAGGCAGAAGAGAUUAGUUUAGUUGGUCAUUUGAUUACUAAUUUAAUUGGUUUGGCACAACAUUGUGGGCUGAAAGGUCUGUUCCUCUGCUGUACCGUUCUAUGAUCUACGAACGUUCCAUGUUCCAAGUGCAGUUUGACCAGUGCCUUUUAAAGCUUCAGCAUUACCUCCUUGCUUUUAUAUUCCAGUCCUCUCAAAAUGAAUGCUAGCAUUGAAUUUGCCUUCCUUUCCACAGACUCAACAUGCAAGUUCAACUUUUGGAAUCCCAAGUCCCUUUGCACCUCUGAUUUUUGAAUUUGCUGCUGUUCAGAAAACUGUCUAUGCCUUUACUCCUACCAGUGCAUGACCCUAUACUUCCGUACACUAUAUUCCAUGUGCCACUUCUUUGUCUAUUCUCCAAAUUCUUCUGCAGACUCCCUUGUUCCUGAAUGUUACUGGUCUUUCCACCUAGCUUUGUAUUCCCUGCAAACUUGACCACAAAGCCAUUAAUUCCUUCAUCAAAACCAUUGAUAUAUAACGUGAAAAGAAGCAAUCGGACUCUGACCCCUGCGGAACACCACAUGUCGCUGGCAGCCAAACAGAAAAGGCCCCGCUACUUCUUGUUUUGGCGCUGGAUACAGUCUGUCAUUGGCUCAGUUGGGCAGCAGACGGCAACCAAUGAGGCAGACCUCACACCUGCUGAACAUCUACUGCAGGAUGCUACUGGAAUGAUGUGGUUGGGAAUCACUUUUGCAGGUUUCCACCCUGAUACGGAUGUUCAGACUAAUUGUAACGGUGCUUAGCUGUAGCAGUGAGGCAUUCAGGAAAGCAGAGACUGGUGUUUUCCUCUUAGAAUCCAGUCCUUUGGGUACUGUUAGCUUUGAAAUUGUCUGGCAGUUGGAUCUCCAUGAGAUGAAGUCAUCAUUCUUCCUAGAAAUGUGGCAUUGACCAUCAAGAAAUUUUAAUGGUGAUGCACAGCCGUCUGAUCGUUCAGCAAGUGUAAACCUUUCCUGUUAUUGAAAAGACCCAGGUAGUUAAAGAGAGCACCUGUUGGCCCAUAUAUGCAGUUACUGCUGUCUUCACUUGUGGAAAAACCCAUUGGCACCUGAAAUGAAGAUAGGUGAAACCGUCCAUCCAUAUCUGCUGAUGUCUCUGGUGGAAACAAAUUGGGUGACGUGGCAGAGGUCAGAUGCAGCCCUUUGGGAAGAUCUGGUGGUAAGUAAGUUGAUCGUCAAUGCAAACUUGACCUUCAUGGAGCAGCAAAGGCACGCGAGCAUGGCAAGAGUUUUGCUGGUGAUUGCAAUGUGUUCAAUUCCAUAUACAACUCUUCACAAAUGUAUGUAUGCAUGGGCUAAUAAGCAUGAGAUUGCAUGGAGCCAUUGGCAAGUCAAUUGUGUGAGCAAGACUGGUAAAACGAUCGAGAACAAGUCGGGACAUUCUGCAUGCUGGAGAUUGCUCAAAGCCAUUGGCAAGUCAAUUGUGGGAGCAGGAUUGGAAAAAUGAUCGGGGCCAGUCGGGACAUUCUGCAUGCCGAAGAUUGCUGGGAGUCAUUAGCAAGUCAAUUGUGGGAACAAGAUUGGAAAAACGAUCGGGGCCAGUCAGGACAUUCUGCAUGCCUGAGAUUGCACAGAGCCAUUGGCAAGUCAAUUGUGGGAACAAGAUUGGAAAAACGAUCGGGGCCAGUCAGGACAUUCUGCAUGCCUGAGAUUGCACAGAGCCAUUGGCAAGUCAAUUGUGGGAGCAGGAUUGGAAAAAUGAUCGGGGCCAGUCGGGACAUUCUGCAUGCCGAAGAUUGCUGGGAGUCAUUAGCAAGUCAAUUGUGGGAACAAGAUUGGAAAAACAACUGGGGCCAGUCGAGACAUUCUGCAUGCUGGAGAUUGCUGGGAGUCAUUAGCAAGUCAAUUGUGGAAGCAGGAUUGGAAAAACGAUCGAGGCCAGUCAGGACAUUCUGCAUGCCGGAGAUUGUUCAAAUCCAUUGACAAGUCAAUUGUGGGAGCAGGAUUGGGAAAACGAUCGGGGCCAGUCAGGACAUUCUGCAUGCCUGAGAUUGCACAGAGCCAUUGGCAAGUCAAUUGUGGGAGCAGGAUUGGAAAAAUGAUCGGGGCCAGUCGGGACAUUCUGCAUGCCGAAGAUUGCUGGGAGUCAUUAGCAAGUCAAUUGUGGGAACAAGAUUGGAAAAACAACCGGGGCCAGUCGAGACAUUCUGCAUGCUGGAGAUUGCUGGGAGUCAUUAGCAAGUCAAUUGUGGGAGCAAGACUGGAAAAACAACCGGGGCCAGUUGAGACAUUCUGCAUGCUGGAGAUUGCUAGGAGUCAUUAGCAAGUCAAUUGUGGGAGCAAGACUGGAAAAACAACCGGGGCCAGUCGAGACAUUCUGCAUGCUGGAGAUUGUUCAAAUCCAUUGACAAGUCAAUUGUGGGAGCAGGAUUGGGAAAACAAUCGGGGCCAGUCAGGACAUUCUGCAUGCCUGAGAUUGCACAGAGCCAUUGGCAAGUCAAUUGUGGAAGCAGGAUUGGAAAAACAACCGGGGCCAGUCAGGACAUUCUGCAUGCCGGAGGUUGUUCAAAUCCAUUGACAAGUCAAUUGUGGAGGCAGGAUUGGGAAAACAAUCGGGGCCAGUCAGGACAUUCUGCAUGCCUGAGAUUGCACAGAGCCAUUGGCAAGUCAAUUGUGGGAGCAGGAUUGGAAAAAUGAUCGGGGCCAGUCGGGACAUUCUGCAUGCUGAAGAUUGCUGGGAGUCAUUGGCAAGUCAAUUGUGGGAGCAGGAUUGGAAAAACAACCGGGGCCAGUCAGGACAUUCUGCAUGCUGGAGAUUGCUCAAAGCCAUUGGCAAGUCAAUUGUGGGAGCAGCAUUGGAAAAACAACCGGGGCCAGUCAGGACAUUCUGCAUGCCGGAGAUUGCUCAAAGCCAUUGGCAAGUCAAUUGUGGGAGCAGCAUUGGAAAAACGAUUGGGGCCAGUUGGGACAUUGUGCAUGCCUGAGAUUGCUGGGAGACAUUGGCAAGUCAAUUGUGGGAGCAGGACUGGAAAAACGAUCGGGGCCAAUCAGGACAUUCUGCAUACCCGAGAUUGCUCAAAGCCAUUGGCAAGUCGAUUGUGGGAGCAGGAUUGGAAAAACGAUCGGGGCCAGUGGAGACAUUCUGCAUGCCUGAGAUUGCACAGAGCCAUUGGUAAGUCAAUUGUGGGAGCAGGAUUGGAAAAACGAUCGGGGCCAGUCAGGACAUUCUGCAUGCCAGAGAUUGCUGGGAGUCAUUAGCAAGUCAAUUGUGGGAGCAAGAUUGGAAAAUGAUCGGGGCCAGUCGAGACAUUCUGCAUGCUGGAGAUUGCUGGGAGUCAUUAGCAAGUCAAUUGUGGGAGCAAGAUUGGAAAAACAAUCGGGGCCAGUUGGGACAUUCUGCAUGCCGGAGAUUGCUGGGAGUCAUUAGCAAGUCAAUUGUGGGAGCAAGACUGGAAAAACAACCGGGGCCAGUCGAGACAUUCUGCAUGCCAGAGAUUGCUGGGAGUCAUUAGCAAGUCAAUUGUGGGAGCAGGAUUGGAAAAACAAUCGGGGCCAGUUGGGACAUUCUGCAUGCCAGAGAUUGCUGGGAGUCAUUAGCAAGUCAAUUGUGGGAGCAAGAUUGGAAAAAGUGAGUGGGGCCAGUCAGGACUUUCAUUUUUAAAUCUUUUUUAUUAAUUAUUAUUGAAAAUCAACAAAAAUAUACAUUAAAGUAAUCAAGUCAACAUGUCAAUAUGUACAAUAAGAAUUAAAUGAUCAAAUAACUGAUUAACAAAGCUAAACAAUAUAUCAAUAAUAAUAAGAAAAAAUAAAUGUUAAAAGUAUUUUUUUGGAAAAAUGAAAGAUGGACAAAAGAACCCCUGCUAACUAAAACAAAAAAAACCCCUACUAACAGAAAAAAAAAAAGAAAAAUAAAACCCCAUUGGGAACACAGCCCUGGAGCGGUAUACACCAUACAAGCUUCUAUAAAAGAAAAACAUCAAUCCGCCAACUCAAAUCCAUUUAAACAAGAAUCGGAAGGGGACCACCUUAAUUAACUCAAAUCAAAUGAUAGUAGCGGGCAAAAGAUCCCCACCUUUUCUCAAAGUCAAAUCAAGGAUCAAAAGUUCAACUUCUGAUUUUCUCCAAACAAAGACACAACAUCACCUGAGAGAACCAUUGUAUCAAAAGUGGGACCAGAGGUACCUUUCCAUUUCAAUAAAAUAGCCCUUCUGGUCAAUAAUGUAACAAACGCAAUUACAAGUUGGUCUGAUAUAGAAAUACCAUGAAUAUAUUGAGGAAUUAUACCGAACAAAACUGUCAAUUUAUUAGGUUGUAAAUUAAUUUUUAAAGCUUUAGAAAUUGUAGAGAAAAUGGAUUUCCAAAACUGUUUCAGUACAGAACAGGACUAAAACAUAUGUGUCAAUGUAGCUAUCUCAGUUUUACAUCUAUCACACUGACUAUCAACAUGAGGAAAUAUUUUAGACAAUCUCUCCUUUGUCAAAUAGUAACAAUGUGCAAUUUUAAAUUGAAUUAGAGAGUGACUGGCACAAAUUGAAGAAGAGUUAACCAACUUCAAAAUUCGCAACCAAUCCUCUGUUAUCCAGGUCAUGUUAAGCUCUCUUUCCCAAUCUUGAUUAAUCUUAAGUAAAGGAUAAUUGUACUGUUGCAAUAGUAAAUUAUAAAUUUUCCCAAUAAAACCUUUCACUAAAGGAUACAUUUUUAAAAUUAUGUCUAACAGGUUAGAAUCUUGUAUAUAUGGGAAAUUACGUAAAUAUUCUUGUAAGAAAUGUCUGACCUGAAGAUAUUGCAAGAAAUGUGAGUACGAGAGAGAGUAUUUAGUUACUAAUUUCUCAAAAGACAUCAAUCAGCCUUCUUGGAACAGAUCCAUGAAGGAAUAGACUCUUUUAUUCCUCCAAAGAAAAAAGGUAGGAUCACUAAGUGAAGGUAUAAAUAAAUAAUUUCGAUAAAUUAAACUAAGAAGGUUAAAUUUUUUUGAGAUUAAAAAAAUUACGAAACUGGUACCAAAAUUGUAAUGCUCAGAGCCAUUGGCAAGUCAAUUGUGGGAGCAAGAUUGGAAAACAAUCGGGGCCAGUCGGGACAUUUUGCAUGCCGGAGAUUGCUGGGAGACAUUGGCAAGUCAAUUGUGGGAGCAGGAUUGGAAAAAGCGAGCGGGGCCAUUCCGGACAUUCUGCAUGACUGAGAUCGCUGGGUGAUUAUUCACUUAACAACAGCCAGUACCAAGAAGUCAGAUGGAAGCGAAGUGAUCAUUGUGGGAAUGGCCAUGUGUGAGUGGACCUGUGUAAGAGUGGUGGAUUUGAGACUUCAGUGAGACGAGAAGAAGGGUAGGGUAAGUUUCUGGUAAGCCACUUUCUUUCUUCGUCCAUUAGUGACUAGCUAGUGUAGUGAGAAAGUGCGCAAUGCCAGUGAUGGGUUCUUUAUGUCAGAUCUUUGAAUUCUGGGUGAACUGCUGUCUCCCUGAGAACUACAAUUGCAUGUUGUACAUUCAGCUGCAGCUCCUUACAAACCUUGUUAGGGAAAUGGAACUGCAGUUGAAUGAGCUGCAGAUCAUAUGGGAGAAUGAGGAGGGGGUAGUUAAGAUAAGCAGAGAGGUAGUUACUUCUUGUUGCAGGAGGCAGUUUGCUGGGUAACUGUCAGGAGAGGAAAAGGCAAUAGGCAGACAGUGCAGAGUAACCCUGUGCUGUUCCCCUCAAUAACAAGUAUAGCACUUUGCAUACUGUUGGGGGGGGGAAGGCAGAUUGACCAAAUGGGGGAAAACUGCACCGUCCAGGUCUCUGGAACUGAGUUUAGCUCUGUGGCUCUGAAGGGAAGCAGGUGAAGAUAAAUACGGUGUUCAGAGGGCAUUCUUACAAGAUUUAUUGAGUUUUUUGAUGAGGGGACGAGGGUAAUUGAUGAAACUAGAGCUGUGGAUGUUAUCUACAUAGAUUUUGGUGAAGUGUUUGAUAAUGUCCCUCAUGGGAGGCUUAUGCAGAAGUUUAAGGUGUACGGGAUUGAUGGUGAAUUGGCUGUUUGGAUUCAGAACUGUCUUGCCUAUUGAAAACAGAGGGUAGUGGUUAAAAGGACCAAUUCUAGCUGGAGGUCUGUGGUUAGUGGUGUUCUGCGGGGAUCAGUACUGGGACCUCUGCUGUUUGUGAUGUACUGUAUAUAAAUGACAAGAAUGAAAAUGUAGAUGGGUGGGUUAUUAAAUUUAAAAUGCCUUAUACCGGACGGCAUGCUCUUAAGUAGAGAGGGGGUGAGUUCAAAGGAGAUGUGAGGGGUAAGGUUUUUACACGGAGUGCAAGGUGUGCCUGGGGUGGUGGUAAAGGCAGAUACACUACGUACUUUUUAAGAGAUAUUUAGAUAAGCAGAUAAAUGUGGGAGACAUGGAAGGAUAUGGACGUUGUGUUGGCAGAAGGGAUUAGUGUAGUUGGAUACUUGAUUGCUAAUUUAAUUGGUCUGGUACAACAUUUUGGGCCGAAAGGUCUGUUCCUGUGCUAUACCAUACUUCGUUUUAUCUUCCAUGUUCCAUGUUCCAAGUGCCAUGCGACUAAUGCCUUAUAGAGCUUCAGCAUUACAUCCUUCCUUUUAUAUUCUAGUCCUCUUGAAAUGAAUGCUAACAUUGCAUUUGCCUUCCUCACCACUAACUCAACCUGCAAGUUAACCUUUAGGAAUCCUGCAUGAGGACUCCUAAGUCCUUUUGCACUUCUGAUUUCUGAAUUUUCUCCCUGUUCAGAAAAUAGUCUGCACCUUUACUCCUUCUACCAGACUGCAUGACCCUAUACUUCCCUACAUUUAGUGCAUGUGCCACUUCUUUGCCCAUUCUCCUAAUCCGUCUAAGUUCUUCUGCAGACUUCCUUGUUCCUGAACACUAUCAUAUUCCUUCACUUAGCUUUGUAUUGCCUGCAAACUUGGCCACAGAGCCAUCAAUUUCUUCAUCCAAAUCUUUGACAUAUGAUGUGAAAAGAAGCAAUCGAACUCUGACCCCUGCGGAACUCCACAUGUCACCAGCACUGGAUACAGUCUGUCGCUGGUGCAGUUGGGCAGCAGACAGCAAUCAAUGAGGCAGCCCUCACACCUACUGGAUGUCUACUGUAGGAUGCUACUGGACUGACACUGGCUCUGGAAUCUCUUUCGUAGAAAACAUUUGGCGGCUUCCGCCCUGAUUCUGAUGUUCGGAUGUGCCUCAUUGCAACAGUGCUCAGCUGUAGUGGUGAGGGUUUCAGGAGAGCAAAAAGUAGUAGUUUCUUCUCUGAAUCCACUCCUUUGAGUAACAUUUGCUUUGAUAAUUGUCCUGCAGUUGGAUCUCCAUGAUGUGGCAUUGACCAUCAAGAAAUUUUAAUGUGAUGCACAGCCAUCUGAUCGUUCAGCAAGUGUAAACCUUUCUUGUUAUUGAAAAGACCCAGGUAAUUAAAGUAGGCACCUGUUGGCCCAUAUAUGCAGUUACUGCUGUCCUCACUUGUGGAAAAACCCAUUGGCACCUGAAAUGAAGAUAGGUGAAACCGUCCAUCCAUACCUUCUGAUGCCUCUGGUGGAAACAAAUUAGGUGACGUGGCAGAGAUCAGAUGCAGCCCCUUGGGAAGAUCUGGUGGUGGUAAGUUGAUUGUCAAUGCAACCUUGACCUUCAUGGAGCAGCAAAGGCACGCGAGCAUGGCAAGAGUUUUGCUGGUGAUUCCACUGUGUUCAAUUCCAUAUACAAUUCUUCACAAAUGAAUGAAUGCACGAGCUGAUAAGCUGAGAUCACAAGGAGCUGUUGACAAGUCAAUUGUGGGAGCAAGAUUGGAAAAAGCAAGAGGGGACAGUUGGCACAGAUGCAUGCCGGAUAUUGCGAGAAGCAAUUAUCAAUUCCUUUACGAGAGCGACCAGUCAAGACAUUUGGCAUGCCAGAGAUAGCUAGGAUCCAUUCUUGUGUCAAUUAUGGGAGAAAAGAUUUGAAAAAGCGAGUGGCGCACGCCAAGAAAUUCUGCAUGACUGAGGCUGCGGGUGAUAAUGCACUUGACAAGGGCCAAUAACAAGAAGUCAGAUGUAAGCGAAGCGUCACUGCAGGAAUGGCCAUUGUGUUACUGGGACAGUGUUACAGUGGAAGAUUUGUAGCUUGGCUCAAAAAGGCUUCAGCAAGAAGGGGCGAAGCAUAAGGUAAGUUUCUGGUAAGCUCCUUUCUUUCUUUGUCUAGCUAGUGUAGAGAGAAUGUGUCUAGUUUCAGUGGGUCCUCAUGUCAGAUGUGGAUAUUCUGGACAAACAGCAGUCUCUCUGAAAUGCAUCCAACUGCAGCUCCCUACAGACUGUGUUAGGGAACUAGAGCUGCAUUUGGGUGACCUAUAGCUUAUAUGGGAGAAUGAGCAGGAUAUAGUUAAGGACUACAGAGAGGUAGUCACCCCUAAGUUGCAGGAGGCAGCUUGCUGGGUGAUUGUCAGGAGAGGGAAAGGGAACAGGCAGACAUUAUAUAGAGAACCCAUGUGCUGUUCCCCUCUGAUACUGUUGGUGCGGGAAGGGGGAGCUACCUAACGGGGGCAUGUCACAGGGUCGAAGUCACUGAGUCAGAAGGGAAGUGGGGAGAAGAGGAGUGCCACAUUCAGAGGGGAUUCUAUACUUAGACAAGCAGAUAGGCAAUUAAGUGGAUGUGAAAGAGACACCCAGAUGGAAUUUUGUUUCCUAGGUGACAAGGUCAGUGAUGUUUCAGAUCAGUCCACAGCAUUGUCUCGAUGGGUGGACGGAGGUUGUGGCACAUAUUGGUACCCACAACAUAUAGGUAGGAAAAUGGAUGAGGUCCUGAAGAGAGAAUGUUGGGAGCUAGAAAGUAAGCUGAAAAGCAGGACCUCAAGGGUAGUAAUCUCUGAAGUGCUGCAUGUGCUAUGCACCAGUGAGGGUAAGAAUAGGAUGAUUUGGCAGAUCAAUGCAUGGCUGAGGAACUGGUGCAGGGGGUAGGGUUUAGGAUUUUUGGCUCAUUGGUAUCUCUUCUGGGGAAGCCAGGGCUGUAUAAAAACAAUGGGUUACACCUGAAGUUGAGGGGCACAAAAUAUCCUUGCAGGGAGGUUUGCUAGAGCUUUUGGCGAGGAUUUAAACUAAUUCGGGAGAGGGAUGGGAGCCAGAGUGAUAGGCCAGACGAUGGGGCAGUUGGUGUGCAGGUAGAUGCAGUGUGUAGAGAGACUGAGAAAGGACAGGUAUUCUAUAGAGUAAAAUUGCAAUCACUGGGAGUGGGUGAACAGAGUCCAUUUUAAUGCUAUCAGCAACAAGGGUAAAGAACUUGAGCAUGGGUCAGUACAUGGAACUAUGAUGUUGUGGCCAUUACAGAGACAGGCCUGUCACAAGGGUAGGAAUGGUUGGUGGAUGUUUUGGCAUUUAUAUGUUUCAAUAGGGAUAGGGAGGGAGGUGAAAGAGGUGUGGAAGUGUCAUUGUUAAUCAAGGGUAGCAUCACAGCUGCAGAAAGGGAGAGCAACAUGUAGGUACUGUCCACCUAGACAGUGUAGGUGGAAAUCAGAAACUGGAAAGGAGCAAUCACUCUAUUAGAAUAUUCAGUUGAACUCACGACCCCCACCCCAAUCCCCAUUUGCAACAGAGACACUGAGGAACAGAUCGAGAUGCAAUUUUGCAAAGGUGCGGAAAUACUAGGGAUAUUUUCAUGCAGCUCUUCAAAUUUCCUAAUAUUCAUUGGUACCUCCUUAGUUAAAUGGUUCAGAUGGGGUGGAAUUUGUUAGGUGUGUCCAGGAAGCAUUCCUGACACAAUAUGUAGACAGGUUGACGAGAGACAGACCACACUAUAUCUGGUGCUAGGCAGAGAGGUGGAGAAGGCCCCAGUGCCUUAUAGGAUAUACACCAGGGUAUAGAGAGAGAUGACAUUACUGGGGCCUUGACCAAUAUCUUCAUGUCCUCUCUUGCCACAGUAGAGCUGGAGGUCUAGUGAGUAGGUAAUUUUGUUAACUCUUUCAACAAGAGAACAAUGGAUAAUCUUGGAAACUAUAGUGUGACGAGUCUCACAUCAGUGGUUGGGAUGGUACUGGAAACUAUUCAUAGUGAUAGGGUUGAUGAGCAUUUGGGAAUCCAUGGCUGAAUUAGGAAAAGCCAGCAUGGCUUUGUGCUGGGCAAAUUGCACCGUACCAACUUGAUAGAGUUUUUGGACGAGGUGAGAAGGGUAAUUUAUGAAGGUAGAGGUGAGGAUGUUACUUACGUGGAUUUUAGUAAGGUGUUUGACAGGGUCUCUCAUGGGAGGCUCAUGCAGACAUUUAAGAUGCAUGGCUUUGAUGGCAAAUUGGAUGUUUGGAUUCAGCACUAGCUUGCCUAUCUAAAAUAGUGAGUAGUGGUCGAAGGACCUAUUCUAGCUGGAGAUGUGUAAUUAGUGGUGUUCCACAGGGAUCAGUAUUCAGACUUCUGCUGUUUGUGAUGUUCUGUAUAUAAAUGGCAAGAAUGAAAAUGUAGAUGGGUGGGUUAUUAAGUUUGAAAUGUCUAAUACCGGAGGACAUGCAUUUAAGGUGAGAGGGAAUGAAUUCAAAGGAUGUUGAAGGGUAAAUUUUACAUAGAGCCUGAGGUGUGCCAAGGGGUGGUAGAGGCAGAUCGAUUUCAGAUUUUUAAGAGAUGUUUAGAUAAGCACAUGAAUGUGAGGGAAAAGGAAGGAUGCAGAUAUUGUGUAGGCAGAAUGGAUUAGUUUAGUUGGCCAUUUGAUUACUAAUUUAAUUGGACCAGUACAACAUUGUGGGCUGAAAGGUCUGACCAGUGCCUUAUAAAGUUUUUGCCUUGCUUUUAUAUUCCAGUGUUCUCAAAAUGAAUGCUAAUAUUGAAUUUGCUUUCCUUACCCAAGACUCACCUUGCAAGUUCAUCUUUAGGAAUCCUGCACAUGGCAUCCCAAACCCCAUUACACCUCCGAUUUCUGAAUUUACUCCACGUUUAGAAAGCAGUCUGUGACUUUAAACCUUCUACCAAAUACUUCCGUAACUGUAGUCCACCUGCCAGUUUUUUGUCCAUUCUCUAAAUCUGUCUAAGCUCUUCUGCAGGCUCCCUUGUUCAUGACACUACCUGUUCCUCCACAUGAGAAAAUCUGCUGAUGUUGGAAAUUCAAACAACACACAUAAAAUGUUGCUGGAACGCAGCAGACCA